Molecule: non-coding RNA, 29 nt
Filed under: Mus musculus (house mouse)
Lineage: Eukaryota; Metazoa; Chordata; Mammalia; Rodentia; Muridae
Source: RNAcentral
UAGGUGUCAUGUUGAUGGGAGGCAUUACU